Molecule: transfer RNA, 56 nt
Filed under: Erinaceus europaeus (western European hedgehog)
Lineage: Eukaryota; Metazoa; Chordata; Mammalia; Eulipotyphla; Erinaceidae
Rfam family: tRNA
About the family: Transfer RNA (tRNA) molecules are approximately 80 nucleotides in length. Their secondary structure includes four short double-helical elements and three loops (D, anti-codon, and T loops). Further hydrogen bonds mediate the characteristic L-shaped molecular structure. tRNAs have two regions of fundamental functional importance: the anti-codon, which is responsible for specific mRNA codon recognition, and the 3' end, to which the tRNAs corresponding amino acid is attached (by aminoacyl-tRNA synthetases). tRNAs cope with the degeneracy of the genetic code in two manners: having more than one tRNA (with a specific anti-codon) for a particular amino acid; and 'wobble' base-pairing, i.e. permitting non-standard base-pairing at the 3rd anti-codon position.
Source: Rfam by way of RNAcentral
UAGCUCAGUGGUAGAGUGUAGGGCUUGUAUGCCUGAGACCCAGGGUUAGAUCCCUG